Molecule: ribosomal RNA, 404 nt
Filed under: uncultured bacterium
Lineage: Bacteria
Description: bacterial SSU rRNA
Rfam family: Bacterial small subunit ribosomal RNA
Source: RNAcentral
UAAGGAAUAUUGCACAAUGGGCGAAAGCCUGAUGCAGCAACGCCGCGUGCGCGAUGAAGGCCUUCGGGUCGUAAAGCGCUUUUCUGGGGGAAGAGUAAGGACGGUACCUCAGGAAUAAGUCUCGGCUAACUACGUGCCAGCAGCCGCGGUAACACGUAGGAGACAAGCGUUAUCCGGAUUUAUUGGGCGUAAAGGGCAUGUAGGCGGGCUCUUAAGUCGGAUGUGAAAUCUCUUGGCUUAACCGGGGGAGGUCAUUCGAUACUGGGAGUCUUGAGGACAGGAGAGGGAAGUAGAAUUCCCGGUGUAGUGGUGGAAUACGUAGAUAUCGGGAGGAAUACCAGUGGCGAAAGCGGCUUCCUGGCCUGUGCCUGACGCUGAUAUGCGAAAGCGUGGGUAGCAAACGG